Molecule: ribosomal RNA, 253 nt
Filed under: uncultured bacterium
Lineage: Bacteria
Description: partial 16S ribosomal RNA
Rfam family: Bacterial small subunit ribosomal RNA
Source: RNAcentral
UACGUAGGGGGCAAGCGUUAUCCGGAUUUACUGGGUGUAAAGGGAGCGUGGACGGCAUAGCAAGUCUGAAGUGAAAGCCCGUGGCUCAACCGCGGAACUGCUUUGGAAACUGUUAAGCUGGAGUACUGGAGAGGCAAGCGGAAUUCCUAGUGUAGCGGUGAAAUGCGUAGAUAUUAGGAGGAACACCAGUGGCGAAGGCGGCUUGCUGGACAGAGACUGACGUUGAGGCUCGAAAGCGUGGGGAGCAAACAGG